UUCCAAAUAAGAAACCUUGGGCAGAGAGAUGAUUUGCAGACAUUUGACUUGGAGGAAGAAAAGGAGAGAUUUUCGGAAGUUAGAAGAAAACACAUGUAAUUUUGUGUGUCAUGCUAUGCAGUUACUGGAAUACACAAUGCACUCUCAUUUUACUCCGAUGAUCCAAUGAGGCAACUACUAUUCACAGUUGAUAAUCUAUUUCUAGAAACUUUUCUCAGCAGUCCGACACAUCUUUGCCAACCUCUCCCACUUAGAGCUGUCAUAGAUCUUCUCUCCAGAAUCAAACGAUGUUCUCACUUGUUUUGACAAGAGUGAUACACUUCUGGAUGACUCACUGUAUUUGAUGUCUGGAUGACUCAGUUAAGUAAUCUGACUAAACACAUUGACUGUAUUACGCUCCUUUUCUUCAUCAUACUAACCUAUCAACCAUAUCAAUAUUCUCAUUAUACUUUAGUAGUAAGAUAUAAUGCUACUAAUAAUAGCUAACAUCUUACA
This is a long non-coding RNA of Hyaena hyaena (striped hyena), 495 nucleotides long. RefSeq lists it as uncharacterized. Lineage: Eukaryota; Metazoa; Chordata; Mammalia; Carnivora; Hyaenidae. The transcript is spliced from 3 exons. The record is from RefSeq and is a predicted model, not a curated record.